Molecule: long non-coding RNA, 876 nt
Organism: Fundulus heteroclitus (mummichog)
Lineage: Eukaryota; Metazoa; Chordata; Actinopteri; Cyprinodontiformes; Fundulidae
Exons: 3
Source: RefSeq, a predicted model, not a curated record
AGCUAAGCAGAACCAGCCAGCCCUCACAAACCAAUCAGGCCUUCAUUAGGCCGGGCGGGGGGAUCGAUGGCCAGCCCGCAUCAAUUAAACAGCACCCGCACAGCACUAUAUAUAAGAAUAUAUACACAGAAACCCUCGAUACCCUACGAACUGUGGCAAGCACCGUCGCCCGCCUAGCUGCCUGCUCGCCUUCAUGGGGAUGUAUGUGCGUGCCAUAAUUAACGCUUAAUAACUUCCCCCAAUCUACACAUCGAGCACCGCGCGCCCAUUCCUCUGGUCCUGAUGCUGGGCCAUUUGUUGGGCGGCUGGUGGAGGUCUCUAUCAAUCCGAGUGUCAUUAAGCAAGAUGAAGAGGAGGAGGACGAGGAAGGGAGGCUCAUUGUCAUCAAAGUGGUGACUGUCAGUAUGCGGAGAGGAUUACUCACUUCUGUGAUGCCGUUUGAAAGUGAUAGAUACGUAAAUGUGGAAAAAGGGAACCGAUGUUUUUUGCCAAGUGCAGUAAUAAGUCGGCGCCAGGGUAACUCCAUUUGUUAAGAGAUCACUUGUUGUUCCUCAUAAAACGAGGAGUAUAUGCACAUGCUCCAAGAAUGAAUGUGAUUAAUUUCUUAAUGAUGUAAUUUUUAGGGCGGGCUCUGGAGGGGGAGUGCUCAGGCACUGUGACUGUUGUAAUGUGAUAAAAACUAAUUUAGCUGAAGUCUCUUGGGGCAGUUUGUAUAUCGUAUGCAUCCAAUCGAUGGUGUUUUUUCAAAUACACAAAUGAUGGAGAAAUCAGAAGACUAAUGGCAUGUGAUUAAAGGAGGAUUCUUUUUUUAAAUCUGAGGAAUCUCUUUGUAACAAGACGUUUCAGAGGUAGAAAAUGAAAAGCCGGAUAAUGAUA